CAUGUCAUCUAACACUUCAAAU
This 22-nucleotide small nuclear RNA is filed under the name Arabidopsis thaliana (thale cress). RNAcentral's name for it is "snRNA_12230". The record is from RNAcentral. Lineage: Eukaryota; Viridiplantae; Streptophyta; Magnoliopsida; Brassicales; Brassicaceae.